Molecule: small RNA, 16 nt
Filed under: Arabidopsis thaliana (thale cress)
Lineage: Eukaryota; Viridiplantae; Streptophyta; Magnoliopsida; Brassicales; Brassicaceae
Source: RNAcentral
UUUGGGGCCCUUCAUC